CAUUUCUGCAAGGGCCUUUACCCUUUUGGUAUCAUUUCCAAAUAACAUGACGUCUUGGAAUUUUUCAAAGAUUUUGUUACCCUUUUAGCUCCGGACUCAAUGGUUGUAUAGAUGUGAUCAAUUUUUUGAUGUGGAAGAGGUAGUUGAGGACUCGUAGUUGAAAAUGGCCUCAUGUAAUUUGGAGGAGAAAGCCCUGCAAUGGCACCAAUCCUACAUGAAACAUCGGAUGACCAGAGAGUGGCCUAGAUGGGUGAGUACGUGGGUUGUUUGUAUGCCAGAUUUGGAAAAGAAUUAUCUGAUGAUCCUAUGGGCGAUUUUAAAGACCUUAGGCAGCGAAUUCUUGUUCAUCACUACUAAAAACCCUAACACCGACAGCAGUUUGAUUGUGAGAUCGAAUACCAAAAAUGACCAAGUCGAAGAAUCAUAUUGCACACAAUCAGUCGUACAAGGCUCAAUGGAAUCAAGAAACCGAAGAGUCACCGUCACAGCUCCACCAAAGGGAUGGAUUCCAAGUUCAUGAGGAACUAGAGGUGUGCUAGGAAGCACAACAAGAAGAAUGUUGAAACUGCCGUAGAAGAAUAGACUAAUCUAGAGUAAUAGGGGCUUUCUAGAUUUCUAUUUAAUGUUGUUACUGUUAUCCAAAUUUUGGGUUUUUAAUUUUGUUUGUUAUGCGAAUAUAGUGGCUACUUAUCUGAACUAGUAUUUCAUGAUUUCAUCAAGUAUGGAAACCAAUUUUAUUGUUUACUCA
Molecule: long non-coding RNA, 748 nt
Organism: Solanum dulcamara
Lineage: Eukaryota; Viridiplantae; Streptophyta; Magnoliopsida; Solanales; Solanaceae
Exons: 2
Source: RefSeq, a predicted model, not a curated record